AGUGAACGCUGGCGGUAGGCCUAACACAUGCAAGUCGAACGGCAGCACAGGAGAGCUUGCUCUCUGGGUGGCGAGUGGCGGACGGGUGAGGAAUACAUCGGAAUCUACUUUUUCGUGGGGGAUAACGUAGGGAAACUUACGCUAAUACCGCAUACGACCUACGGGUGAAAGCAGGGGAACUUCGGGCCUUGCGCGAUUGACUGAGCCGAGGUCGGAUUAGCUAGUUGGCGGGGUAAAGGCCCACCCAGGCGACGAUCCGUAGCUGGUCUGAGAGGAUGAGCAGCCACACUGGAACUGAGACACGGUCCAGACUCCUACGGGAGGCAGCAGUGGGGAAUAUUGGACAAUGGGCGCAAGCCUGAUCCAGCCAUACCGCGUGGGUGAAGAAGGCCUUCGGGUUGUAAAGCCCUUUUGUUGGGAAAGAAAUCCAGCUGGCUAAUACCCGGUUGGGAUGACGGUACCCAAAGAAUAAGCACCGGCUAACUUCGUGCCAGCCGCCGCAGUAA
Molecule: ribosomal RNA, 506 nt
Filed under: uncultured bacterium
Lineage: Bacteria
Description: partial 16S ribosomal RNA
Rfam family: Bacterial small subunit ribosomal RNA
Source: RNAcentral